AAGAGAAAAUUGGUGGAUUUCAAGUAAUCAAGCAAUCAAAGGUGGUGAAUCCUCCGAAAAAGGGCAAAGAAAUUACACCCGAGGAUCAAUAGUCGGAGUACUCCAAAAUUCAAACUCCUGAUACAAUUGGCCAUCUCGGAUCAAUAAUGAUGUGAAAAAUUAUUAAAAAUUCAUGUGGUCAUCUAUUGAAAAACUAGAAGAUUUUUCAAUCUAAUGAAUUCUCAUAUGCUACUUG
Molecule: non-coding RNA, 235 nt
Organism: Theobroma cacao (cacao)
Lineage: Eukaryota; Viridiplantae; Streptophyta; Magnoliopsida; Malvales; Malvaceae
Source: RefSeq, a predicted model, not a curated record